RNAcentral lists this ribosomal RNA (607 nucleotides) under uncultured Burkholderia sp. RNAcentral describes it as "bacterial SSU rRNA". It matches the Rfam family "Bacterial small subunit ribosomal RNA", at positions 112 to 715 of the family's 1533-position model. Lineage: Bacteria; Pseudomonadati; Pseudomonadota; Betaproteobacteria; Burkholderiales; Burkholderiaceae. The record is from RNAcentral.
AAUACAUCGGAACAUGUCCUGUAGUGGGGGAUAGCCCGGCGAAAGCCGGAUUAAUACCGCAUACGAUCUGAGGAUGAAAGCGGGGGACCUUCGGGCCUCGCGCUAUAGGGUUGGCCGAUGGCUGAUUAGCUAGUUGGUGGGGUAAAGGCCUACCAAGGCGACGAUCAGUAGCUGGUCUGAGAGGACGACCAGCCACACUGGGACUGAGACACGGCCCAGACUCCUACGGGAGGCAGCAGUGGGGAAUUUUGGACAAUGGGCGAAAGCCUGAUCCAGCAAUGCCGCGUGUGUGAAGAAGGCCUUCGGGUUGUAAAGCACUUUUGUCCGGAAAGAAAUCCUUGGUUCUAAUAUAGCCGGGGGAUGACGGUACCGGAAGAAUAAGCACCGGCUAACUACGUGCCAGCAGCCGCGGUAAUACGUAGGGUGCAAGCGUUAAUCGGAAUUACUGGGCGUAAAGCGUGCGCANGCGGUUUGCUAAGACCGAUGUGAAAUCCCCGGGCUCAACCUGGGAACUGCAUUGGUGACUGGCANGCUAGAGUAUGGCAGAGGGGGGUAGAAUUCCACGUGUAGCANUGAAAUGCGUAGAGAUGUGGAGGAAUACCNAUGG